RNAcentral lists this small nuclear RNA (95 nucleotides) under Canis lupus familiaris (dog). RNAcentral's name for it is "U2 spliceosomal RNA (multiple genes)". It matches the Rfam family "U2 spliceosomal RNA". Rfam says of the family: U2 is a small nuclear RNA (snRNA) component of the spliceosome (involved in pre-mRNA splicing). Complementary binding between U2 snRNA (in an area lying towards the 5' end but 3' to hairpin I) and the branchpoint sequence (BPS) of the intron results the bulging out of an unpaired adenosine, on the BPS, which initiates a nucleophilic attack at the intronic 5' splice site, thus starting the first of two transesterification reactions that mediate splicing. Lineage: Eukaryota; Metazoa; Chordata; Mammalia; Carnivora; Canidae. The record is from RNAcentral.
AUUGCUUCUUGGCCUUUUGGCUAAGAUCAAGUGUAGAAUUUCUACUUGGUUCUUUUACAAAAUUGUUACAUCGAUUUUUAUAUCUUCCAGUUCCC